CGAACUCAUGAAGAUCUUUAAACUCAGUGCUGUCGGAAUGAAACUGAAGCUGAAAAGGGUGCUUUUCCAUAUCGCAUAAAAAAUAUUCAUGCGAUCAACGUCUCAGAGGCCUUCAAAGUUUUAUUCAACAUCAGUUAUCCUUUCAUGACGAAAAAAAUGAGAAAUCGGUUUCACCUUCAUACGGACAGCGUACAAUUUAAAGAUCUCCAGGCUUUUGUACCACCUGAAGUUCUUCCCGAGGAAUAUGGGGACUGUCUGAGGCACUCAUAUUUCAUCAAUCCAAUGGAAAACAUUUACGAUAACGAAGAAUAUUUUAGAAAAUAUGCACCAUAUUUUUUUUCAAAGCACAAAAAUUAAGCAAUAAAAAUGCAUAGUUUGUAAUCGAUUUUAUAUAUUAGUUAAAGGAAUUUAGAAUUGGUCUCUUUCACGUCAAAUAUGCAAUUUGAUGCAUAAAUUAUUAAACUAUCCAGAUCUGUCAACCUCAGAAAUUAAAAAAAGGACCAGUAGGGUAUUAAUUUUAAAGACCAGGGUAUAGCAUAAUAAGCAAAACUGUAACAGAUAUUUUAAAAAAUAAAUCAAUGCAUUCUUUUAAAUCAAAUUUAUCUAGGCAACUUUUUGCUCCUAAAAAUUACAAAGUAAUAAACUAAUAUACAGUGUUAUAAAACAGUCUUGAAUAACUGAUUUUGCCUUUUGUAAAAACUCUUUCUGGUUUGUCUUUUCAGUUAAUAAAUAUUCUGAAAUUCGUUUUCAAUAGGAAAAAUUUAACUAACUUCGGAAUUUUGUUAUAUUGUUGAAUAUUCUUACACAGGUCAUAUCACAGUAAGGAAUUGUUAAUAUCAUUUUCUGGCUAACAAACUGUAAAUAUUUCUAUUCCUCCUUCUCCUACUGACUUCUCACCAUUUUGUGUCGAACCCAUCAAUAGAAUCAAGAAUUCUAAAAUGUCUUCGCAUUGCAAAGCACAAUAUUGAGUUUCUAGAUUAUUAAGAUAUAAGCUUUGUCAUCUUUUCUUAAAAAAGAAAAACUAACAAGAAACUGGAUAUUAAAGAAAAAAAACGCUGAUUGUUGAAACGAAGCAUUUGUUUACGUUAGCAAUUGUUCUUUCCAUUCCAUUUCGAGUGAGCCAAGUCCGUCAAGUAUCAGUUCUCUUAAUUGACCCAUUCUAUAUUUUUACGAAAAUAUUUUAAUUAUUUCACUAUAUCUUUCUCACUUAACACAAAGACAAGCAUGAAGCCAUGUAUAACAUAAACAAAUUGUGCAUCGAA
Molecule: long non-coding RNA, 1262 nt
Organism: Parasteatoda tepidariorum (common house spider)
Lineage: Eukaryota; Metazoa; Arthropoda; Arachnida; Araneae; Theridiidae
Source: RefSeq, a predicted model, not a curated record